AAGAAACUAACCAGGAUUUCCCUAGUAACGGCGAGCGAACCGGAAAGAGCCCAGCUUGAAAAUCGUGGUGCCUCGCACCUCGAGUUGUAGUCUGGAGAAGGUCCCUCUGCAGCGCGCCGGACCCAAGUUCCCUGGAAAGGGACGUCAUCGAGGGUGACAACCCCGUCCGCGCCCGGAACGCGUCGCUCCACGAGGACCUGUCUGCGAGUCGGGCUGUUUGGGAAUGCAGCCCUAAUCGGGAGGUAAAUUCCUUCUAAGGCUAAAUAUGGGCAAGAGACCGAUAGCGAACAAGUACCGCGAGGGAAAGAUGAAAAGGACUUUGAAAAGAGAGUUAAAAAGUGCUUGAAAUUGCUGGGAGGGAAGCGAAUGGAAGCUGCGGGUGCGCCCCGGUUGGAUGUGGAACGGCUUCGGCUGGUCCGCCGCUCAACGCGGGGCGCUGGUCAGCGUGGGCCACGGCGCCGGGACAAGAGCGGGGAUUCGCUUCCCGCCUAUGCCGGUGCGGUGGCCGAGGAACGAAGCGCGCGCCUUCGGCGUGGGUUCGCCCCAACUGCGCGCUCGGGACGCUGGCGUAUUGAGCUCUUCAUCCGACCCGUCUUGAAACACGGACCAAGGAGUCUAACAUGUAUGCGAGCCGGUGGGCGGCAAACCCAUUGAGGCGCAAGUAAACUGACAGGUGGGACCCCGACCGCAAGGGAGGGAGCACCAUCGACCGACCGUGAUCUUCUGUGAAAGGUUUGAGUGUGAGCAUACCUGUUGGGACCCGAAAGAUGGUGAACUAUGCCUGAGCAGGGCGAAGCCAGAGGAAACUCUGGUGGAGGCUCGUAGCGAUACUGACGUGCAAAUCGUUCGUCAGACUUGGGUAUAGGGGCGAAAGACUAAUCGAACCAUCUAGUAGCUGGUUCCCUCCGAAGUUUCCCUCAGGAUAGCUGGAGCUCGUGUACAAGUUUUAUCAGGUAAAGCGAAUGAUUAGAGGCAUCGGGGGUGUAACACCCUCGACCUAUUCUCAAACUUUAAAUAGGUAAGCCGCCGGGGUUGCUUGGUUGAACCCCGGCACAGAAUGAGAGCUC
RNAcentral lists this ribosomal RNA (1067 nucleotides) under Thelia lescurii. RNAcentral's name for it is "eukaryotic LSU rRNA". It matches the Rfam family "Eukaryotic large subunit ribosomal RNA", at positions 59 to 1122 of the family's 3401-position model. The record is from RNAcentral. Lineage: Eukaryota; Viridiplantae; Streptophyta; Bryopsida; Hypnales; Theliaceae.